GCUAUUUAGGUUAGAGUUUGAUCCUGGCUCAGGACAAACGCUGGCGGCGUGCGUAACACAUGCAAGUCGGACGAGCGGGGUGGCUUCGGCUGCUUCGCGAGUGGCGGACGGGUGCGUAACACGUGGAUGACCUGCCUCGCGGUGGGGGAUACCCCUCAGAAAUGGGGGCUAAGACCGCAUGCGUCGGCACGCGUAAGGGCGUGUCGGGAAAGCGCUGGCUUCGCGGCUGGCGCGCCGGGAGAGGGGUCCGCGGCCGAUUAGCUGGUUGGCGGGGUAACGGCCCACCAAGGCGACGAUCGGUAGCUGGUCUGAGAGGACGAUCAGCCCGCCC
RNAcentral lists this ribosomal RNA (331 nucleotides) under uncultured bacterium. RNAcentral describes it as "bacterial SSU rRNA". It matches the Rfam family "Bacterial small subunit ribosomal RNA", at positions 1 to 313 of the family's 1533-position model. The record is from RNAcentral.